AACGCACAUUGCGCCCGGCAGCAAUCUGCCGGGCAUGCCUGUCCGAGCGUCAUUUCUUCCCUCGAGCGCGGCUAGCCCUACGGGGCCUGCCGUCGCCCGGUGUUGGGGCUCUACGGGUGGGGCUCGUCCCCCCCGCAGUCCCCGAAAUGUAGUGGCGGUCCAGCCGCGGCGCCCCCUGCGUAGUAGAUCCUACAUCUCGCAUCGGGUCCCGGCGAAGGCCAGCCGUCGAACCUUUUAUUUCAUGGUUUGACCUCGGAUCAGGUAGGGUUACCCGCUGAACUUAA
This 284-nucleotide unclassified non-coding RNA is filed under the name uncultured Microascaceae. RNAcentral describes it as "sequence contains ITS2". Lineage: Eukaryota; Fungi; Ascomycota; Sordariomycetes; Microascales. The record is from RNAcentral.